GACGAACGCUGGCGGCGUGCUUAACACAUGCAAGUCGAACGGAAAGGCCCUGCUUUUGUGGGGUGCUCGAGUGGCGAACGGGUGAGUAACACGUGAGUAACCUGCCCUUGACUUUGGGAUAACUUCAGGAAACUGGGGCUAAUACCGGAUAGGAGCUCCUGCUGCAUGGUGGGGGUUGGAAAGUUUCGGCGGUUGGUGAUGGACUCGCGGCUUAUCAGCUUGUUGGUGGAGUAGUGGCUUACCAAGGCUUUGACGGGUAGCCGGCCUGAGAGGGUGACCGGCCGCAUGGGGACUGAGAUACGGCCCAGACUGCUACGGGAGGCAGCAGUGGGGAGUAUUGCACAAUGGGAGGAAGCCUGAUGCAGCAACGCCGCGUGCGGAAUGACGGCCUUCGGGUUGUAAACCGCUUUCGCCUAUGACGAAGCGUGAGUGACGGUAAUGGGUAAAGAAGCACCGGCUAACUUCGUG
RNAcentral lists this ribosomal RNA (468 nucleotides) under uncultured bacterium. RNAcentral's name for it is "partial 16S ribosomal RNA". It matches the Rfam family "Bacterial small subunit ribosomal RNA", at positions 28 to 507 of the family's 1533-position model. The record is from RNAcentral.